RNAcentral lists this ribosomal RNA (327 nucleotides) under Triticum aestivum (bread wheat). RNAcentral's name for it is "partial small subunit ribosomal RNA". Lineage: Eukaryota; Viridiplantae; Streptophyta; Magnoliopsida; Poales; Poaceae. The record is from RNAcentral.
AUGUCAGAGCUGCAGAGAUCUUCCCAAACAUUUAGGGGGUCUGGUUCAUCUGGUCUGAUCUGGGAGGAGAGGUUUAUGCCUAAAGACCAGAACCAGAGGAAUCAAGGGGCAGCUGGGGAGGCAGAGGUCAACAGCUUAGAACUCAAGGAGCUAAGGCACUCCCGUAGCAACGGGUCCAGGGGAGGUGUGCAGCGUAGGUGCAGUGACGGUGCAGAGCGCGGUGGCAUGCCCAGCGACAUCAACCAGGCCUUUCGUACUCGGCAUGUUCCGCCAGCUCUUGAUCCACCUUCACCCAAGUUUGCUCUGCAUGUUCUGUGGAAUUUUUAG